AAUGCAGUCGGACGGGAUUGAAAUUAAAGCUUGCUUUGAUUUCAUGAGAGUGGCGCACGGGUGCGUAACGCGUGAGCAACCUACCCAUAUCAGGGGGAUAGCCUCUCGAAAGAGAGAUUAACACCGCAUAACAUCAUUUACCGGCAUCGGAUUAUGAUCAAAUAUUUAUAGGAUAUGGAUGGGCUCGCGUGACAUUAGCUAGUUGGAGGGGUAACGGCCCACCAAGGCUACGAUGUCUAGGGGCUCUGAGAGGAGAAUCCCCCACACUGGUACUGAGACACGGACCAGACUCCUACGGGAGGCAGCAGUAAGGAAUAUUGGUCAAUGGAGGGAACUCUGAACCAGCCAUGCCGCGUGCAGGAUGACUGCCCUAUGGGUUGUAAACUGCUUUUGUCAGGGAAUAAACCUUUCCACGUGUGGGAAGCUGAAUGUACCUGAAGAAUAAGGAUCGGCUAACUCCGUGCCAGCAGCCGCGGUAAUACGGAGGAUCCAAGCGUUAUCCGGAUUUAUUGGGUUUAAAGGGUGCGUAGGCGGUCCUAUAAGUCAGUGGUGAAAGACGGCAGCUUAACUGUCGCAGUGCCUUUGAUACUGUAGGACUUGAAUCUAUUUGAAGUGGGCGGAAUAAGACAAGUAGCGGUGAAAUGCAUAGAUAUGUCUUAGAACUCCGAUUGCGAAGGCAG
RNAcentral lists this ribosomal RNA (680 nucleotides) under Sphingobacterium sp. Y4_87. RNAcentral's name for it is "bacterial SSU rRNA". It matches the Rfam family "Bacterial small subunit ribosomal RNA", at positions 54 to 724 of the family's 1533-position model. Lineage: Bacteria; Pseudomonadati; Bacteroidota; Sphingobacteriia; Sphingobacteriales; Sphingobacteriaceae. The record is from RNAcentral.